CCCGCCCCCGCCGCCUCAGAACCUGAUGCCGCCGCCGCUUCAGCACCUGGUGCCCUCGCCGCUGAGGUUCCUGCCGACGUAGGCUCCUUCGGCCGUCCGUCCUCUCGUACUUGGAGGCUGCAGACUAACAGAUCUCCAGAUGGAUGGAGUGGUCGCAUGCGCUCCAUUCGUUCAUCCGCCAGUUAUUCGCUUCACCUCCCCAGGACACAUGACAAGAGGUAAUUUCUUUUCUUGCUUUAUUCCUCACGUGAGCUACAAUUUAUGGAUGAGCUACGAUCUCUUGGCUAGUUGCAUAGGAGCACGAAGUGUACUUGUGAACAUAGGCUAAUUUGAUAGAUGUGCAUAUGCCGAUUCAGUCCAUGGGCAAUACUUAUAAAUUGUAAUAAAAAAUUCUUGCUUAUGUUUGCUUCAGUAGAUGGAACAAGUCUUGAUUUUUUUUUUCUUAUCAUCAUUGUAGUCUAGUAACGAUGGAGGUUCCAGUGAUCUGACGGUGUGAGGAAUUCAGAGCCGAGUUGUGCUAUUGUAAAUAACAACUUGUGAUCUGUAGGAUGACCCUGUGCAAACAUGAAAUUUGGAAUGCUUAUACAAUUAAUGUGCAAUGUCACUUAUACGGUCUGAUGCAUUGUUAGAUGCAGUUUCUUGCAUAUCUUGUAUCAAUUAAAUAAAAUUCACUUUAGCACACAGAUGUUUUACAACCAAAUAUAUUUGCAUUGUAAGAUGGGGUCUAGACAAUUGGUUCUAAAAGAAGGAAUUUCGCAAAGAAAAAUUGAUGCUUAUAGUUUUGCUCAAUUAGCUCGUUCAUCCUAUCACACUGAUGCAUUUGUAUGUUAUGUUGAUUUCAGUCCAUUUCAUCCUUUGUGAGAAGAGUGGAGGUAGGUAUAUUUUGCUAAACAAUAUUCUUCCUUAUUAUUUAUUGUCGUGCUUCUAAACCAUUUCAUCUUUGCCCUGUUUCUGUAUCUGUAACCAUUUCACCACUGCCAUGUUACUGAACCAGUAACAUGAAAUUUAUUCUUUAAUUGUCUGCAUCCCUGUUAUAAUAUCCAUCUUUUAUUUCUUAUUCAUGGCAUGAUUGUAAUUUAGCUAGGAUAUAAUGAUUACUAUUGCUGGAUGUUUGGUUUGGUGCUUCCUGAUUGAGUUAGGCUGCCUAGUGCUUCAAGUUAGCUAUGCUUUCUUUUGAAGUCCCGGUUGCAUCAUGAUUUGUUGUUUUACUAAGAUGCUGAUUAAUACACAUACUUGGUUUGGCAAAAACUCUGUUGGGUGGAAGUGCAUCGGAGACAGCUUCUCAACAUGAUGCAUGGCUCCGUUGGCGCGGCGGAGCGAUGACACUGCCACUUGCCCAGCCUCUGCUGACUUAAUAUUCGCCGAUGCUACCGCGUCCAUCUUUAAGUCGCCUCACCUUAUGUCCCCAAGCUGACAGAAGUCAAGGCCACUGCGCCUCUGAUCCAGCAUCUAUUUUAUGUAAUGUGCUUGUGACCAGAGUGUAAAAGUUUAAUUUUUAUUCGAAUUACUAUGAUCGUCCUA
This is a long non-coding RNA of Lolium perenne, 1521 nucleotides long. RefSeq lists it as uncharacterized. NCBI's taxonomy places the organism in Eukaryota, Viridiplantae, Streptophyta, Magnoliopsida, Poales, Poaceae. The record is from RefSeq and is a predicted model, not a curated record.